This is a long non-coding RNA of Aquila chrysaetos chrysaetos, 5184 nucleotides long. RefSeq lists it as uncharacterized. The transcript is spliced from 5 exons. The record is from RefSeq and is a predicted model, not a curated record. NCBI's taxonomy places the organism in Eukaryota, Metazoa, Chordata, Aves, Accipitriformes, Accipitridae.
CAAACUUACACUUCUCAACAGGAUGGAGAAUGUAUAAUUUAUGAGCUAGUGAAGUAUCUUUAAUUAAACCAGUAUUUUCUAAAUUUUGACUUAAUUUAAUUUUAAUCUAACAGAAAGAAGCAAUCUGAGUCCAGCCAAGGUUUUCCUUAAAUACCAUCCUUGUUAUCUGGGAGGCUUCAAAUCAAUUGUGGAAGUCCUGGGCCCCAUUUAGAGCUCAGAGGAGACAGCAGCAUUUUGCAAGUGCUGGGAGAAGCCCCCCCCCACACCUGUGCAUUGUCCUCGUUCCCUGCCCAGCCGCGGUGGGCGACGUUUUCGAGCGAGAUCUAUGGCAGUUCAGUCCCCAAAUCCUCAAGGAGAGCUCAUCAGCCUCGAGCCGAGAGAAAAUGCCACCUUAAAACUCAAUACUGUUUCCCUUGAAGCCUGACGGCUGAGUCUAACCAGCCGUCUGCACCGUGCCUAAUUCCCGGGGAGGCUCUCGUCGCUGCGAGCCCUGCGGCGGGCUGCGCCGUGCAGCCUUCUGCUCCCCACAGGACCCGCCACCCCAGCGGUUACACAGCCAAGAGGAAUACGGAGACACGGGCUCGUGCAAAAUGGGCAACCGCGACACGCUGAGAAGAUGCGAACGCCUGCACGCCGGCCCCAAAUAACCAAUGUACCCAGCCCUGGGUUUUCAGGCUUCAGCUUUUCACUGAGUAGGAGGUCUUGAUUCUGGGACCUGCCACCCAGCUGGCAUAACGAACAGGCAAAAUGCCACUGCCCAAACCAGAAGGAUGCUGUUUACCGUCGCUACCCACUUCUCUGCUGCUGACAGACAGGACCCAGACAUCAGAAAGGCUGGACGAGGCUGCUCUCCUGUUGGAGCAGAGAGAAGUAAUCAGUCAAAUCACUGCGGCACAGAGAGGGAUGCUGCCCCAUCUCCCGUCAGGCAGCAAAUGACUCAUUGUGUAACAACUUCAGUAAAGGGGUAUUUUUUUUUCUCUUUUUUUUCCUCUUCCACUUUCAGCAGGGAAACAGAGAUGAAUUUUUCAAGAGGCCACCAAGGCUUUUGUUUGGGAGCUUUGCCUCCCGGGUCUCCUAAGGCCACUGAGAAAGUCAUCACUUGAAUAAAUGUCAUCAGCAGUCACUCUGGUGCGGCUGGAGACCAAAAGCAUUGCUGCCUCUUCAAGAGGCGUAGACAUGGUGAGCAGCUGGUGAGUUGUUAUUCACUAGCCUGAUUUAAACCAUGUGUGAACCGAGCAGUGCUGGAUCCUGCAGGAAUAAGUCAACCCUGGAUGCUCACCACCUCCGAUCACCCAGCCCCUUGUAUCCCCGUUGUCCGUGCCAACCAUGGCGGUAGCGUACAGCAAGGACAUCACCACCAUGCAGCCCCCCAAAACACUGCUGCCUGCAAGAGCAUUCUCCCAACAAGCAGAAACAAAUAGAAAAGUGCUUUCAUACUUUCUGCAUCAUUUCCACGUGAGUGACGAGCAGUAAGCACCACGUUUGCUGAAAGUAAGUUGGCCACUUCAGCUGAGUUUUGCCCACUGCCAUGCUUCAUCAGAUGCCAUUGCAAAGGUCUGCGCUACACGAGGCAGAGUUUGCCUGUCCCACUGUGUGCCCUUCCUCACCAGUUCAGAAAGCAGAUGAGAAAUAACUAAGCAAAGAAUUAAGCUUGAAUGAGUGGAAGUUAGCGAAACAUGAGCCAUGCCUUGCUGGCCCUUCGAUAAAGGAAAUCCAACAGUUCUCCUCCUCCGGGAUUUCAGUGAAUCCCCUGCCUUCGUGCUCUGAAUAUCUAACAGUAUAAGCCUUGCUGGAGAAGAUGGGGAUUAAUUGAACAUCUCGGAAAUGGGUGGGGAACUGGCUAAUAGGGCCCAGUAAUGGUGAAAGGAGAGGUUUUUCAAGGACUGGGCUGAAGCUUACUUUGAUCACUAUCUAUCUUCAUUAAGGACCUCAGCAGAGGAAUAUGAGUGUUUGCUGAUGGUACCUCGUGAAGAGGAUGGCACAAACUCACAAGGAGCUUUGGGACAUUGUGGUGAAAGGAUGCGGAAGACCCUGAGCGCACAGGAGAUCGAAACCCAGCUGGUACAGUGUGGUAGGGGGCACGCUAUUGUCCCCCAAAAGCCCCACGGCAAGAGGGAGCACGCUCAGCUCCUCACACGUGGUGCGCUAUCCUGCAGCCCUGCAGCGAGGCGCUGGGCUUCCUAGUGCCCUGCUCCAGCCCUGUGCCUGGAGGCAGCCGGAGCUGCAUGUUGGAUGCCGUCAGCUGCAUAAAACUGGGAUAUAAUUGAGCGAUGCUGGGGCUAUGCAUUAGUGGACAACCGUUGCUUGUGCAGGGUACACCCCUUUGUGGUGCACCCGGUGCUCUGGACUCUCCUGCAGAAAUGCUGUAUUUUAGCGUGUAGGAAGGUACAUACAGGAGACUAAACUGGCCGAUGGGAACAUCGCUCUUGGGAAAAGCAUGUGCUGCUCAGCCCUGAAAGGUCUCUGGGGAAAAGCAGCAGUGCUGGUGGCAUCACACCCGGCUCAGCAUCCCUUGUUCACACCUACUGGGGAAACCCGUCACAACUGUGCUCUGGGUUUUCUUGCUACGCUUCUCCUUGCUGUCACCCAUCUCUCUGUAUGCCUGAUUUCUGACUAAUGUAAAUACCCACCCCCUUCUUUAGCAUAAUGAAUACUAAUUCCUUAAUAUGUGUUAUUUUCUACUGUAUCUCCAUUUCCCUGCUAUCCGUCUUAAAAGCACCAACAAUUGCUAUCACCGUUUGUCUGCUGUGUGUAUAUAAUUAGAACAGUUGGCUCAGGUAAUUACUUUUUGCUUCCUUCAGUUCCUUCCUCUGCUUUGCACUAGUCUGUCUUGUUGGGGUUUUUUCUUCAUUUCAGGCUCUUUGGAAGAAGUUUUCAAAGCAAAGCAGGGUGCGUGGCUUUUAACUCUACCGCCCAUUGAAUUGGAGGUCACCAGCUGCUAAACCCUCUAAAACCUCUGAGUUUGCUAAAAACUCCAGAGCAGCCAACUCUUUCUCAUUCUCCAUUUCUUAUCCCUGAGGCCGUAAGUGGAACUUGGUAAAUGAUAUUUCUGCAAGUGAAUUGCCCGGUUGAGAAAAAUCAUCCGGCUGAUUUUAUUCCCCCAGGGCUUCCAAGCAACCCGCACUGCUGGUGCUCAGCUCACACCCAGCAUGCCCAGGGAAGGGACAUGCAGGAGCUGGAUCUGGCCAGCCCCUCGCCUUCUGCUGACGUGCCCUACCUGCAUGGAAAUCAGCAGCCAGCAGCAGACCAUGAAGCCAUCCUCGCUCCAGCAGCAGGGAAAGGAAAACUCCCAGUGGUUGAGGGAUUCAUGCGGAGACACAAAGCAAAUCCACACUGGAGACCUGGGAAAUUCCUACUCUCCUCCGCUGCCAUGUCAGAGUUUGUCUUGAAAGAUUUCCUUUCACAGUUAUUGUUCACGUUGGAAGAGAAAAAAGUGGGAGGAAUGAUCUGACUAAAGCAAAGUGUUCCAGGUUGCACUGUCUCUGGCUACUCCGACCUCAGUCAUCCCGCAAGAACAUUUCUGUUGUUACUGCCUUGAAGGCCUUGGGUGAUUUAAUGCCCGUGGCUACAGUUCGUCAUUGGGAUGGGACAGAUCUGUGAACUAACGACCCUUCCUUGCCCUCCAGGAUCAUGACAGCACAAAGCCAGAUUUAUUUGGGAUGCCGGGAACUGCCGGUCCUUCACCCGCCUGGGCGCAGCACUUGCUAUUUGCCGCUUGCCUUAAGGAGUGGGUCUGCAACCAGCUUGGUCUCCUCCCCGUGUUUCAGCUCUGAGCAUCAUUAGAGGACACAGCAAGGAAGUCUGCUCUUUCCAGCCAAAGCAAUGAUCACCUGUGACUGAAAAACACAUGUCCAAAAGGAAGGGGAAAGCACAGGGGGAUGUGCCUGGAGGCAACCCAGGACCAAGGGGAGCAGCUGAAGGCAGGCCAGGGACUCUUGCUGCUCGGCCCCUUGUCUCCACAGCGCUGCUGGUCGGGUUUACCUCAAGGCCCUUCCAGCACCUACCAUCUCCCCGUGAGCAGAGACAUAGUCGCCAGCUCCCAGAUGCCUAAGCAGCAGGUUUUCGAGCUGCUCGAGGAGGGGAAUAUCUUGAAGAAACCGGGCAGUGGCAGCAAAAAGCGAGGGUCCAAGGACAACUUGCCCAGGAGUCCCAGCUGGAGAAGGUGCCAGCGGGUUGGUGCCCAUCCUGCAGCGAGACUCUUAGCCCUGGGGGCCGGGACGAUGUCACCAGCAGAUCGAACAGCAUCCAAUGACUUUGCCACUUUAAGUGGAAUUUUUAUUUUCUUGGAGUCACCUUCUAAAAAAUGGGGUUGGGAGAAAAAAGGGUGGGGUGCAGGGGCGAGUAGAAGAGGGUGCUGGAGGGAGCAGUGGAGAAAAUCUUCAUCCUGAAAUGCCAAGCCAAACAUCCCCCCUGCCCCACCAAAUCUUCCCCCACCAAAUCUUCUUUUAUUUUUUUUUUUUUUUUUUUUUCCCCCAAGAAGGAGAAUUUUAUUUUCCAGCCAGCUCUACUCAUGAGUGAUUGUUCAGAGCUCUGCUAAUGGGCUAUGCCAAGCUGUGGUAACCCUACAGAGCUAUUGGCAGGAGAGGUGGCAAGUUGGAGAGGACUACAAGGGAACUCUGCAUGAUAUUUUUUGAUGAGCUGAUUAUUCAGAAAUUUCACAAGAGCUGAAAUACAUCACUCUGUUCUGAAACUCACAGCCCUGCCAACACACAGGACAGCUUACAUGAGCAGCAGCGUUUUCUCCUCCACAGUGCUGCUGGCCUGUACGUUAGGAACCAGAUGCAGGAAUCGGACAAGGCUUUUCAGCAGCCGUCGACCGCAGUGACAGCAAGAGAUGGGGAGUGGAUAGGAGGACACAGAAAGCUGAGACAGAAAUUAUUUACUUUCAUGGCUGUCACUAUGUGUGUAUUUGGGCUUGAAAGUUUUUCAUUAGCUCCAUGGGUACUGGGGCAUUAUGAUUUUUCUUGCUUUAGAGCUAGGGUGUGAGAUCAUCCCCAGAUCCCACAUGUAUUCAGGUAUUUUUAUUUCAGGGGGUGCUCAGUCCCCAGUCACGUUUCAGGGUGCUGUCACAAGCCAGGAGCUGGCCUUGACUCCCACCAUCGCAGCCAAGAGCCUCCGUCUUAGAUGUCAUCCCGAGUCUGCAGCCAGGUCAGGCUCCCACAGAGACCAAACGGUCAUUUUCCC